This 250-nucleotide non-coding RNA is filed under the name Clostridium magnum. Its description in RNAcentral is "T-box sequence". It matches the Rfam family "T-box leader". Rfam says of the family: Uncharged tRNA acts as the effector for transcription antitermination of genes in the T-box leader family. T-boxes are found upstream of many aminoacyl-tRNA synthetase genes and some amino acid biosynthetic genes usually in Gram-positive bacteria. The anticodon of a specific tRNA base pairs to a specifier sequence within the T-box motif, and the NCCA acceptor tail of the tRNA base pairs to a conserved bulge in the T-box antiterminator hairpin. The record is from RNAcentral. Lineage: Bacteria; Bacillati; Bacillota; Clostridia; Eubacteriales; Clostridiaceae.
UAUAAAGCUGUGACUAAGAAGUAGUAAGAAAAACAAAAUUUCCUCACAGAAAGCAACCGGUUGAUGAGAGGUGCGUGGAAUAGAUUUUCUGAAUUCAUCUUAUGAGCUGCCCUUUGAACUGAUUUUCUAAGUAGAAGGUGUCGGUAACAUCCGUUAAAAAUGUAAAGUAUUUAUUUAGAUACUUAUUGAGUUCGACAGCGUGAGUUGUUGAUAAACUUAGGUGGUAACACGGUAAUAACCCGUCCUUUGA